Molecule: RNase P RNA, 377 nt
Filed under: Actinomycetota bacterium
Lineage: Bacteria; Bacillati; Actinomycetota
Description: RNase P RNA component class A
Rfam family: Bacterial RNase P class A
About the family: Ribonuclease P (RNase P) is a ubiquitous endoribonuclease, found in archaea, bacteria and eukarya as well as chloroplasts and mitochondria. Its best characterised activity is the generation of mature 5'-ends of tRNAs by cleaving the 5'-leader elements of precursor-tRNAs. Cellular RNase Ps are ribonucleoproteins.
Source: RNAcentral
UGAGUCGGUCAGACGACCGCAGUGUUGUGGUGCUUGCAUUACAACAUUGAGGAAAGUCGGGACUUCGCAGGACAAAGUGCUGGUGAAAGCCAGAUCGGGGUGACCUGAUAUUACGUGCAACAGAAAAUAAACCGCCGAUGGAUAAUCUUCGCAAGAUUUUUGUCACAGGUAAGGAUGAAACGGUGCGGUAAGAGCGCACCAGCGCAGGUGGCAACAGUUGCGGCUUGGUACGUCACUUGAAGCAAGGCCAUGCAGAGGGCAUGAACUGUCCGUUUGCUUUCGAGCAACCCUCGGGUAGGCCGCAUAGAUGGAUGGUCGUCAGGAUCGACAGGAAACUGUUGAAACUACAAAAUCCCGCUUAUCGACCGACUCACUGU